AUUCUACUCCCUCCAUCCGGAAAUACUUGUCAUUGGAAUGGAUGUAUCUAGAUGUAUUUUAGUUCUAGAUACAUCCAUUUUCAUCUAUUUUGAUGACAAGUAUUUCCGGACGGAGGGAGUAUGAU
Triticum aestivum (bread wheat) is the source of this 125-nucleotide non-coding RNA. The record is from Rfam. NCBI's taxonomy places the organism in Eukaryota, Viridiplantae, Streptophyta, Magnoliopsida, Poales, Poaceae.